GUGGGGAAUUUUGGACAAUGGGGGCAACCCUGAUCCAGCCAUGCCGCGUGCGGGAAGAAGGCCUUCGGGUUGUAAACCGCUUUUGUCAGGGAAGAAAUCCUUUGGGUUAAUACCUCGGAGGGAUGACGGUACCUGAAGAAUAAGCACCGGCUAACUACGUGCCAGCAGCCGCGGUAAUACGUAGGGUGCGAGCGUUAAUCGGAAUUACUGGGCGUAAAGCGUGCGCAGGCGGUUUUGUAAGAUCGAUGUGAAAUCCCCGGGCUCAACCUGGGAACUGCAUUGUUGACUGCAAGGCUGGAGUGCGGCAGAGGGGGAUGGAAUUCCGCGUGUAGCAGUGAAAUGCGUAGAUAUGCGGAGGAACACCGAUGGCGAAGGCAAUCCCCUGGGCCUGCACUGACGCUCAUGCACGAAAGCGUGGGGAGCAAACAGGAUUAGAAACCCGAGUAGUCC
Molecule: ribosomal RNA, 450 nt
Filed under: uncultured bacterium
Lineage: Bacteria
Description: partial 16S ribosomal RNA
Rfam family: Bacterial small subunit ribosomal RNA
Source: RNAcentral